This 1185-nucleotide ribosomal RNA is filed under the name Triticum aestivum (bread wheat). RNAcentral describes it as "partial small subunit ribosomal RNA". Lineage: Eukaryota; Viridiplantae; Streptophyta; Magnoliopsida; Poales; Poaceae. The record is from RNAcentral.
AUGGAGAAGAGGAAGAAGGAGGAGGAGGAGGAGGAGAAUCCGCCGGCAGCGGAGAGCCUCUGGGGCGACCUGCUCCCGGAGAUCCAGUCGGAGAUCCUGUCGCGGGUGCCAUACCGGUCGCUCUGCCGCUUCAAGUGCGUGUCCACGGCGUGGCUGGCGCUCUGCUCCGACCCGGCCGUCCGCAGGAGGUCGCCGCAGACGCUCUCCGGCUUCUUCUGCUACUCCCAAGUGGACGUCGGCGACGGCCGGCGCCAUUACGGCGUCAGCUUCCUCAACCUGUCCGGGUGGGGCCGGCCGAUGGUCGACGACCCCUCCCUCAGCUUCGUGCGCGGCUACUGCCACGUCACGCCCAUUCACUGCUGCGGCGGCAUCCUCAUCUGCUGCUGCUGGAAGUUUGACAUGAGCGACGAGGCGGAUUUUGUCGUGUGCAACCCUGCCACCAAGGAGAUCUGGGCCGUGCUGCCGGUGCCCCGGAACGAGAUGAUGACGCGCCUCAACACCGCUCGCCUGUGCUUUGACCCCGCCGCUCCCCGCCGCUUCAAGGUGUUUGUGUUCGUGCAAAGUUUCGCUGGGGUUCAGAGGGUGGAGGUCUACUCUUCAGACACCGGGCAGUGGACCUCCGUUGGGAGUGCGUGGAGCUCCCAGAACCUCAUGAUUGGCGAGGAAUCGGGAUGCGUCUACUUCAAUGGAUCUCUGCAUCUGGCUGUCUGCCAUCCUGUGGUCAAGGUGGACUGGGAGGGAGUGAUACGCUCCAUGGUCACUUUUGACGCAGAGAGGGAAACCUGGAGGAGGAUCCGUAUGCCGGACACCAGCAAUAACGGUUUCUUUGGGCUGUCGCAGGGACGCCUAUACACCGCGCGUGUAGAAAAUGAAGGUAAAUGCCGGCUCUUGGUCUGGGUUCUCGAGGAUCAUGCUAGCGGACUGUGGACCUUGAAGUGUACUGCCAGCAUUCUUGAACUGCUAGGAAGCCCUUGCCGUGCACCCAACGAAUUCUACCAGCCGGUUGCGAUCCAUCCAGAGUGCAAUCUGAUAUUCCUUCAAGAUGCGGGGCAGGAAGCAUUGCUUAUGUCCUACAAUAUGGAUACCGGUAAACUGGAUAUUGUCUGCUCUCUUGGAGACCGCUGGGCGCAAAGAUUUCACCCGUACAUUCCCUGUUUUGUGGAGAAGCCGCCCGUUCCUCAGUGA